RNAcentral lists this ribosomal RNA (257 nucleotides) under uncultured bacterium. RNAcentral's name for it is "partial 16S ribosomal RNA". It matches the Rfam family "Bacterial small subunit ribosomal RNA", at positions 524 to 776 of the family's 1533-position model. The record is from RNAcentral.
UACAGAGACCUCAAGCGUUAUCCGGAAUCAUUGGGCGUAAAGCGUACCGAUAGGUGGUUGUAUAAGUCAGAAGUGACACCUCCGAGCUCAACUCGGAAUCUGUCUUUUGAAACUAUACAACUAGAGGGGCAAAGAGGAAGCUGGAACGAACGGUGUAGUAGUGAAAUGCGUUGAUAUCGUGCGGAACACCAAUAGCGUAGGCAGGCUUCUGGGUGCCACAUGACACUGCUAGGACGAAAGCGUGGGGAGCGAAUGGG